AGAGUUUGAUCAUGGCUCAGGACGAACGCUGGCGGCGUGCUUAACACAUGCAAGUCGAGCGGAAAGGCCCUUUCGGGGGUACUCGAGCGGCGAACGGGUGAGUAACACGUGAGUAACCUGCCCUUCACUUUGGGAUAACCCUCGGAAACGGGGGCUAAUACCGGAUAUUCACUUUCUCUCGCAUGGGGGUUGGUGGAAAGUUUUUCGGUGGGGGAUGGGCUCGCGGCCUAUCAGCUUGUUGGUGGGGUAAUGGCCUACCAAGGCGACGACGGGUAGCCGGCCUGAGAGGGCGACCGGCCACACUGGGACUGAGACACGGCCCAGACUCCUACGGGAGGCAGCAGUGGGGAAUAUUGCACAAUGGGCGGAAGCCUGAUGCAGCGACGCCGCGUGAGGGAUGACGGCCUUCGGGUUGUAAACCUCUUUCAGCAGGGACGAAGCGGAAGUGACGGUACCUGCAGAAGAAGCGCCGGCCAACUACGUGCCAGCAGCCGCGGUA
This 499-nucleotide ribosomal RNA is filed under the name uncultured Actinomycetes bacterium. RNAcentral's name for it is "bacterial SSU rRNA". It matches the Rfam family "Bacterial small subunit ribosomal RNA", at positions 8 to 522 of the family's 1533-position model. The record is from RNAcentral. Lineage: Bacteria; Bacillati; Actinomycetota; Actinomycetes.